Long non-coding RNA from Drosophila montana, 1066 nucleotides. RefSeq lists it as uncharacterized. NCBI's taxonomy places the organism in Eukaryota, Metazoa, Arthropoda, Insecta, Diptera, Drosophilidae. The transcript has 2 exons. The record is from RefSeq and is a predicted model, not a curated record.
ACGAACUCUUUUCAUUUGUACUCGUACUCGUACUCGGGUAUGAUGACAAGGUUGCUUUUUAUUUUUCCCAUUUUUUGUUUGUUUUUUCAUUUUUCCAGCUCUGUUGUUUCUGCUUUAUGCAUAUGUAUCGUCUGGGAUCGCUUCAAGCAGCGGCUUCGAUUUGGUUUUUGUAUUAAAAUUUUGCUAAACUAAAAAAAUGUGUGUGCAGUUUGCCUGAGCUGGACGAGAGGAGGCAGCAAAAGAACCUGGCAUUGGCCCCAGCUUCGGUGGCGGGUUUUUCAGGCUGUCGCACACACAGGCGCACACACACACACACACACACUGAGAGAGAGAGACACAUUGAAAGGAAGGCCCCCGGUUGAAGAAGUGAUGACAACAACGACGUAUGAGCACCCGAGUUUGUGCCGCAUUUAAAUUUCAAAUUGUACAGAACAGAGACCGAACCCGAACCCGAGACCAAGACCGAGAUCGAGCCCGAGCCCGAACCCGAUGCCGCAGCCGUAGCCUUAGACUCAAAAACCCGGCAGCUACUUGCUACCAAUGUUGUUGGGCCUGUAUCUUGAUGCCUCUGUGCAGGCAGCAUCCACAAGCAGAACACAGGCAAGAACAACUGCAACAACAAGUGUGUGGGGCAGGUAGACACUAAAUCGUACGAGCCUUGCAUAUUGCAGUUUGUUGCAACGCAGCGUAUCUAAUAGAUACUCGUACUUACAACACGCAGCGGCAGCAACAACUACAGCUAGCUGGCUUUUCCUUUUGCCUUUCUUAUGGAAAUUUGAUGUUGUUGCCAAGUUAAGUUCAUUAAGUGUUAGUAUUUGAACCUCUGGCUGACAGUCGUUUGCCUUGCCAUCGAUACAAUCUCUGCUACUCUUGCCGAUGACUUCGCAACGCCAAACAAAUUCCAAGUGGUUUUGGCAAAUGGCUGUGUCUGAGGUGGGUCCCGGCCCAGACGAGCACACAAUGCACACACACGUGUACACAACACCUUCGAUAAGCUGGCAGCGCCUCACAUUUAACCAAUUUGGAGCAUACGCCUCUUGCGUUAGGCACAGCAACAAAAAUGAAA